Molecule: ribosomal RNA, 492 nt
Filed under: uncultured bacterium
Lineage: Bacteria
Description: partial 16S ribosomal RNA
Rfam family: Bacterial small subunit ribosomal RNA
Source: RNAcentral
AGUGAACGCUGGCGGUAGGCCUAACACAUGCAAGUCGAACGGCAGCACAGUAAGAGCUUGCUCUUACGGGUGGCGAGUGGCGGACGGGUGAGGAAUACAUCGGAAUCUACUUUUUCGUGGGGGAUAACGUAGGGAAACUUACGCUAAUACCGCAUACGACCUACGGGUGAAAGCAGGGGAUCUUCGGACCUUGCGCGAUUGAAUGAGCCGAUGUCGGAUUAGCUAGUUGGCGGGGUAAAGGCCCACCAAGGCGACGAUCCGUAGCUGGUCUGAGAGGAUGAAUAGCCACAACUGAACUGAGAAAAGGGCCCAGAUCCUAAGGGAGGCAGCAGUGGGGAAUAUUGGACAAUGGGCGCAAGCCUGAUCCAGCCAUACCGCGUGGGUGAAGAAGGCCUUCGGGUUGUAAAGCCCUUUUGUUGGGAAAGAAAAGCAGCAGGUUAAUACCCCGCUGUUCUGACGGUACCCAAAGAAUAAGCACCGGCUAACUUCGUG